Molecule: ribosomal RNA, 408 nt
Filed under: uncultured microorganism
Description: bacterial SSU rRNA
Rfam family: Archaeal small subunit ribosomal RNA
Source: RNAcentral
GCGCACCAGGCGCGAAACUUUACAAUGUGCGAAAGCACGAUAAGGGAACUCUGAGUGCCUCCUAAGGAGGCUGUUCUGAUGUCUAAAAGCAACAGAAGUAAGGGCUGGGUAAGACCGGUGCCAGCCGCCGCGGUAACACCGGCAGCCCAAGUGGUAGCCACGUUUAUUGGGUCUAAAGCGUUCGUAGCCGGCCAGGUAAGUUCCUUGGUAAAUUUAGCCGCUUAACGGUUAAGCUUUCAGGGAAUACUGCUUGGCUUGGGACUGGGAGAGGUCAGAGGUACUCCGGGGGUAGGGUGAAAUCUAUUAAUCCCUGGGGGACCACCGGUAGCGAAGGCGUCUGACCAGACCAGGUCCGACGGUGAGGGACGAAGGCUAGGGGGCGCGAACCGGAUUAGAUACCCGCGUAGU